Molecule: long non-coding RNA, 830 nt
Filed under: Salmo salar (Atlantic salmon)
Lineage: Eukaryota; Metazoa; Chordata; Actinopteri; Salmoniformes; Salmonidae
Description: lncRNA (ENSSSAG00000098431.1, ENSSSAG00000098960.1)
Source: RNAcentral
GUGAGGCUUCUUCAACAUGCGGCCAGUCUUUAGGCAUUGUUUCAGGCUUUUACUCUGAAAAAUGAGGGAGAUACAGCACUUUCAAUGAGUGGACAGUGGAGAUUUCCAGACAUGAGUCCAGCGCGUGAUCGGGAACGCGCCUUUCUUGUUUCUCCUUUUCUAUUGACGAAGCUUUUGUCCGGUUGAAAUAUUAUUUAUUAUUUAUGACAAAAACAACCUGAGGACUGAUUUUAAACAUCGUUUGACAUGUUUCUACUAACUUUUAUUGUACUUUUUUGACUUUUCGUCUUGAUGUUGAGAGCGCGCAUUGUGCCUUUGGAUUACUGAACUAAAUGCACCAACAAAACUGAGGUUUUUGGACAUAAAGAGGGACAUUAUCGAACAAAACAAACAUUUAUUGUCUAACAUGGAGACCUGGGAGUGCAACCAGAUGAAGAUCAUCAAAGGGGACGCGCUGCUGUAACUGGCAAGCUGCCUUUCCAGAACACGUGCUGAUGCUAUAACUAGUGAGACUGAAUGUCAACAAGGUCCAGGAGAAACAGGAGAGCUACCAGAGGAGAAUCAAGACCAAGUUCUUUGACAUCCGGGCGAAUGACUUGGUUUGGAAGAAGGACCAAAGAAAGGCGAGACCUGGGAAAACUUUCUGCUCUUUCGCUCCUAGCUGGGGUCACCAUCUAUUAAAUUAAGGAGCUAGGGGUUCAGCCUAACACCCAGAUGAGGAUCCACCUGAUGUCCUCCAUUACCAACCACCCUCCAACUUUUCAUUAUAUAAUCUACAGCUACUCUUAUUGGCAUUAUCUGCUAAGAAAGCUUGCUUGCUUUAUCAUACU